GGGGAUGUAGCUCAUCUGGUAGAGCGCGUGCUUAGCAUACAACUCGGUUCGAGCGAUCGGCCGAGCAACAUGCUCCUGCACGAGGUACUGGGUUCGACUCCCAGCUUCUCCA
Transfer RNA from Coniochaeta ligniaria NRRL 30616, 112 nucleotides. It matches the Rfam family "tRNA". Rfam says of the family: Transfer RNA (tRNA) molecules are approximately 80 nucleotides in length. Lineage: Eukaryota; Fungi; Ascomycota; Sordariomycetes; Coniochaetales; Coniochaetaceae. The record is from Rfam.